UCCCUGGUGGUCCAGUGGCUAAGACUCCACACUCCCAAUUCAGAGGGCCCAGGUUCGAUCCCUGGUCAGGGAA
Bos taurus (domestic cattle) is the source of this 73-nucleotide non-coding RNA. The record is from Rfam. Lineage: Eukaryota; Metazoa; Chordata; Mammalia; Artiodactyla; Bovidae.